Molecule: ribosomal RNA, 1235 nt
Filed under: metagenome
Description: bacterial LSU rRNA
Rfam family: Bacterial large subunit ribosomal RNA
Source: RNAcentral
UGAAUACGAGAUGCUACGGCGUCGAAGCAGUCUAUGUCAUACUUCCAAGAAAAGCUUGCACUGUCAUAAACAAAUAAUGCCUGUACCAUAACCGACACAGGUGGGUAGGUAGAGUAUACUAAGGGGCGCGAGAUAACUCUCUCUAAGGAACUCGGCAAAAUGACUCCGUAACUUCGGGAGAAGGAGUGCCUUAUUUAUAAGGUUGCAAUAACAAGAUCCAAGCAACUGUUUAUCAAAAACACAGGUCUCCGCUAAGUCGUAAGACGAUGUAUGGGGGCUGACGCCUGCCCAGUGCCAGAAGGUUAAAGAAGUUGGUUAGUGUAUGCGAAGCUGAUGACUGAAGCCCUGGUGAACGGCGGCCGUAACAAUAACGGUCCUAAGGUAGCGAAAUUCCUUGUCGGGUAAGUUCCGACCCGCACGAAAGGCGUAAUGAUUUGGAUACUGUCUCGGAGAGAGGCUCGGUGAAAUAGACUUGUCUGUGAAGAUGCGGACUACCUGCACCAGGACAGAAAGACCCUAUGAAGCUUUACUGUAACUUGAAAUUGGAAUUGGACUUUGCUUGCGCAGUAUAGGUGGGAAGCGUUGAAGAUAUUCUUGCGGGAGUAUUGGAGCUAUCAGUGAGAUACCACUCUUGUAAUGUUAGAUUUCUAACUUUGAACCAUAAUCUGGUCAAAGAACAGUUUCAGGUGGGCAGUUUGACUGGGGCGGUCGCCUCCCAAAUGGUAACGGAGGCGUACAAAGGUUUCCUCUGAACGGAUAGAAAUCGUAUCUAGAGUGUAAAGGCAUAAGGAAGCUUGACUGUGAGACCUACAAGUCGAGCAGGGACGAAAGUCGGUCUUAGUGAUCUGACGGUACUGAGUGGAAAGGCCGUCACUCAACGGAUAAAAGUUACUCUAGGGAUAACAGGCUGAUCUCCCCCAAGAGUUCACAUCGACGGGGAGGUUUGGCACCUCGAUGUCGGCUCAUCGCAUCCUGGGGCGGUAGUACGUCCCAAGGGUUGGGCUGUUCGCCCAUGAAAGCGGUACGCGAGCUGGGUUCAGAACGUCGUGAGACAGUUCGGUCCAUAUCCGGUGUAGGCGUUAGAAUAUUGAGAGGAGCCUUCUUUAGUACGAGAGGACCGAGAAGGACACACCGCUGGUGUACCAGUUAUCGUGCCAACGGUAAACGCUGGGUAGCUAUGUGUGGAGUGGAUAACCGCUGAAAGCAUCUAAGUGGGAAGCCCACCUCAAGAUGAG